UGGCCCUAGUGCAGGCUUCCUCAAACUCGGCCCUCCAGAUGUUUUUGGCCUACAACUCCCAUGAUCCCUAGCUAGCAGGACCAGUAGUCAGGGGUGAUGGGAAUUGUAGUCUCAAAACAUCUGGAGGGCAGAGGUUGAGGAAGCCUGCCCUAGUGUAA
Molecule: microRNA precursor, 158 nt
Filed under: Podarcis lilfordi (Lilford's wall lizard)
Lineage: Eukaryota; Metazoa; Chordata; Lepidosauria; Squamata; Lacertidae
Source: RNAcentral